CGAUUGUCAUUUUUUUCGUACUAAGCUGACUGAUGGGGUGAUUUCUCUCUCUCUCUCUCUCAUGUCUCCACUUCUCACUAGUUGGCUGAUGUCCUCACCAAGCCUAUGCCUGCCACUGCUCGUCAUUAUCUUGGCCAAGUUGAAGGUGGUCUCCCCCUCCAACUUGAGGGGUGGUGUUGAGCUAAUGGACUACCUAUCAUCUAAGCCUAAACACAUACAUUGAUUUUGUGCUGUAUUAUUAUUUUAUAUUGCAUGUAUAUUGUAUAUCAUUUGGGCUACAUUUUCAUUUUGGGCCUGUACCAGCUUUUAGCCCAUUCAUUUUUAUUUAGCUGACCCAAUAUAGAAGGGUCCGAUAUAUUUUUCUUCUAGAGAGUUCUGUAUAUACAUAGAGAAGAGAACUCCU
Molecule: long non-coding RNA, 403 nt
Filed under: Nicotiana benthamiana
Lineage: Eukaryota; Viridiplantae; Streptophyta; Magnoliopsida; Solanales; Solanaceae
Description: long non-coding RNA (NBEN_LNC014931)
Source: RNAcentral